GAUUGAAACGACUGCUAAGACUGGAUAGGAAACAAAAAGGCAUCUUUUUGUUUUUAAAAGACCUUCUUACGAAGGUAUGCUUAAAGAGGGGCUUGCGCCACAUUAGUUAGUUGGUAGGGUAAAAGCCUACCAAGACGAUGAUGUGUAGCUGGACUGAGAGGUUGAACAGCCACAUUGGGACUGAGACACGGCCCAAACUCCUACGGGAGGCAGCAGUAGGGAAUUUUCGGCAAUGGAGGAAACUCUGACCGAGCAACGCCGCGUGAACGAUGAAGUAUUUCGGUAUGUAAAGUUCUUUUAUUGAAGAAGAAAAAGUAGUGGAAAAACUAUAUUGACGUUAUUCAAUGAAUAAGCCCCGGCUAACUAUGUGCCAGCAGCCGCGGUAAGACAUAGGGGGCGAGCGUUAUCCGGAAUUAUUGGGCGUAAAGGGUGCGUAGGCUGUUAGAUAAGUCUAUAAUUUAAUUUCAGUGCUUAACGCUGUCUUGUUAUAGAAACUGUCUUGACUAGGGUGAGAUAGAGGCAAGCGGAAUUCCAUGUGUAGCGGUAAAAUGUGUAAAUAUAUGGAGGAACACCAGAAGCGUAGGCGGCUUGCUGGGUCUUUACUGACGCUGAGGCACGAAAGCGUGGGUAGCAAACAGGAUUAGAUACCCUGGUAGUCCACGCCGUAAACGAUGAGUACUAAGUGUCGGGGUAAAACUCGGUACUGAAGUUAACACAUUAAGUACUCCGCCUGAGUAGUACGUACGCAAGUAUGAAACUUAAAGGAAUUGACGGGACUCCGCACAAGCGGUGGAUCAUGUUGUUUAAUUCGAAGAUACACGAAAAAUCUUACCAGGUCUUGACAUACUCUGCAAAGUUAUAGAAAUAUAGUGGAGGUUAUCAGGGAUACAGGUGGUGCAUGGUUGUCGUCAGUUCGUGUCGUGAGAUGUUAGGUUAAGUCCUAAAACGAGCGCAACCCUUGUCGUUAAUUGCCAGCACGUAAUGGUGGGGACUUUAGCGAGACUGCCAAUUAAACAUUGGAGGAAGGUGAGGAUUACGUCAAAUCAUCAUGCCCCUUAUGAUCUGGGCCACAAACGUGAUACAAUGGCUGUGACAAAGAGUAGCUGAAACGCGAGUUUUUAGCCAAUCUCAAAAAAGCAGUCUCAGUUCGGAUUGAAGUCUGUAACUCGACUUCAUGAAGUUGGAAUCGCUAGUAAUCGCGAAUCAGCAUGUCGCGGUGAAUACGUUCUCGGGGUUUGUACACACCGCCCGUCAAAUC
This 1258-nucleotide ribosomal RNA is filed under the name Candidatus Phytoplasma trifolii. Its description in RNAcentral is "bacterial SSU rRNA". It matches the Rfam family "Bacterial small subunit ribosomal RNA", at positions 149 to 1403 of the family's 1533-position model. The record is from RNAcentral. Lineage: Bacteria; Bacillati; Mycoplasmatota; Mollicutes; Acholeplasmatales; Acholeplasmataceae.